This 795-nucleotide long non-coding RNA is filed under the name Homo sapiens (human). RNAcentral's name for it is "non-protein coding IRAIN:8". The record is from RNAcentral. Lineage: Eukaryota; Metazoa; Chordata; Mammalia; Primates; Hominidae.
UGGGCGGCUGCGGGGAGCGGCCGGGGCGCGUGCACGCUGCGGGUCUCCGAAGCUCGGGGGGCGUGUCCGGGUCCCGGGGCGCCGAGGAGGGGGUGGAGGCUGGGGCCGGGAAGCCUCCCUUGGCCGCGGUCCCGACCCGGGAACACGCCGCAUGCACUCGGGAUCAGCGGCUACUGCGGAAACCCACCCGCACCUGUCUCGGGUCCUCCCAGGCACGUUCCUCUUGCUUCGUUUGCUACGUAAGUGACUGGAAACCAGUACCGACCCUAAGUCUCCGCGGUUGUUUUCUUGAAUGUGCAGGAGGAGAGGUUUCCCCAAAGCGAGACUCCCCUAGGACUGCCAUCUAAUGAAUAAAUGCUGCGGAGACCAGGUCCUCAAAGAGGGAAACAGCCCAGCAGUGGCAGGAGAGAGGAGUUUGAAAUACGUGGACUUUUACAAACAGUGAUUGGACCAUGUGUCGCCCUUAAUGUGGUCCGGUUUCAUGACUCAGGCUAAUUGAUGCCAGUAAUAAAUUUUUUUAAGAUAGCUAAUAAAAGAGUUGUGAAUUGUCGAGAUAAGAAGUGGUUGUCUCAAACAAUCGGGUAGGAUGGUAGAAGGGACCUGAUGUAAAGGAAGGUAGUAGGUUUCUUUUACUCUCUAAUUCUAAAAUACUUCUGCAUUAGAACGUGUAUCCAUCGUUCGUAAAUAAUUUUUUAAGAGCUGAAAACAAGUCAAAAGCUAUCAUAACGGAAACUUAGCCCUUUUUUUCUAAAGUUGUUUCCUAGAUCAUUUUCCUCCUUGGAAAUUUCUAGCUCA